RNAcentral lists this ribosomal RNA (441 nucleotides) under uncultured bacterium. Its description in RNAcentral is "bacterial SSU rRNA". It matches the Rfam family "Bacterial small subunit ribosomal RNA", at positions 958 to 1398 of the family's 1533-position model. The record is from RNAcentral.
AACGCGAAGAACCUUACCUGGGCUCGAAAUGUAGUGGAAUCCGGUAGAAAUAUCGGCGUCUAGCAAUAGACCGCUAUAUAGGUGCUGCAUGGCUGUCGUCAGCUCGUGUCGUGAGAUGUUGGGUUAAGUCCCGCAACGAGCGCAACCCUUAUCUCCAGUUGCUACCAUUUAGUUGAGCACUCUGGCGAAACCGCCUCGGAUAACGGGGAGGAAGGUGGGGAUGACGUCAAGUCCUCAUGGCCUUUAUGUCCAGGGCUACACACGUGCUACAAUGGCCGGUACAAACCGCUGCGAACCCGCGAGGGGGAGCUAAUCGCAAAAAACCGUCCUCAGUUCGGAUCGCAGGCUGCAACUCGCCUGCGUGAAGCUGGAAUCGCUAGUAAUGGUGUAUCAGAACGAUACCGUGAAUACGUUCCCGGGCCUUGUACACACCGAGACGAC